UUAGGAUUAUAAAAGAUGCACAUUUUACAGUGGAAUGAUGGGUUCAUAGUGUUCCUCACUAAAUGGCAGGGUGGCAGACAAUGUUUGCUGUCAAUCCCCCGUUCCUGGAUAAGAGAAUGCUCAUUUUAUUCAGUUGACAGUAGGCCCUGUGCUUCAAGACCUCUGUCUAGCCCUAUGAGUGAAGCGUUAUUAGUCCCGCCUGAUUGUAAUGAUUCUAUUGUCUCUCCAGAGAUCAGUUCAGCAAUGGACUUAUGACAUGAUUCUGCUCAAUGAGCCUAAGGAGAAUAUCUGCUGAAUGGUGGAGAGAAUUAAAAAGCUUUUUCUUGCUCCCAAAUAAGGACAAAAGUUUUUUCAGGAACUUCCAUACUGUUGUCCAUGGGGGCUGCAGCAAUUUACAUUCCUACCAACAGUGUACGAGUGUUCCCUUUUCUCAACAUCCUCCCCAACACUUGUUAUCUUUGUGAUAACAGCCAUUCUAACAGGUAUGAGGUAGUAUCUCAUCGUGGUUUUACUUUGCAUUUCUCUGAUAAUUAGUGAUGUUGAGCACCUUUUCACAUAGAUGUUGGCUAUUUGCAUGUCUUCUUUGGAAAAAUGUCUAUUCGGGUCCUUUGUCCAGUUUUUAAUUGAGUUGUUUGGGGGUUCUUUGGUUAGUUUUUGCUAUUGAGUUGUACGAGCUCAGGCUCUAUUUUCAAGUAACCUGGCUAAGACAGCAUUAGGAGCAGAAAGAUAAACUGCCGUCCCAACUACUGAAGCUUUUACCUAAGUCUAACUGUGCUGCGGUGGAGGUGGAGUUCAUAUAUUGGGAGAAUGGUAACUACCGUAUGUAAUAAAUGUGGGGGAGAUGAUAAUUAUAAGAUUGUGAAACAACUUGGUUCUUUUAAAUGGUAUUGAAGACUCAGCCUCCCCUCCUCUCAAAUGAUCAAAUUUAGACAGAAGAUGCAGAGAAAGUGGG
Molecule: long non-coding RNA, 952 nt
Filed under: Equus caballus (horse)
Lineage: Eukaryota; Metazoa; Chordata; Mammalia; Perissodactyla; Equidae
Description: lncRNA (ENSECAG00000051023.1)
Source: RNAcentral